Long non-coding RNA from Stegostoma tigrinum, 627 nucleotides. RefSeq lists it as uncharacterized. Lineage: Eukaryota; Metazoa; Chordata; Chondrichthyes; Orectolobiformes; Stegostomatidae. The transcript has 3 exons. The record is from RefSeq and is a predicted model, not a curated record.
AAAGGAUUCAGUGACAAGCAAGAUGUAUCGACUAACAGUCUAAAUAAACAGCUUUUGCUUCUACUUACCUCCUGGGGAGAGCUUGGUCAUGGAGGCAUUGGCGGUGACAGUGUUGACGAGGAAGGCAGUAGGAAGGCGUCUGGUGUGCCCGGAGCUGGACCCUGGCAGUAGCGGUGAGGCAUCUGGUAACCCUGGUAGCAACGGCCAGGUGGCUGAUGUGCCUGCAGCGUACCCUGGCAGCGGUGGUGGAAAGAUAAAGUUGUGGACUGUUUCUCAACAUUAGGCUUGUGAGACACAAUUUGGACUGCACCAGGGCACUGCAUCACCAAUUUCCAUCAAAAUGCCAACAGCUUUGUGUUUCUGCCCCAUAUUAUGAAUGACCAAACUCUCGCCUCAAAGACACCCGGGGAGCACUUUUCUCUUAAGGCAUGACUGGAAAAAGAGUCAAUGUGAAGCCACUGUUGUAAUCUGAGAGAACAAUAUUGUCUCGGACUGUGUGGGAAGGUAUUUCUGGCCAGUUUUCUUGACUAAGGGCGAUAUGUCACAGGGACAUUGAGGAGAAGGGAAAGAAAAAAUACUGGGUAAAAUUAACAACUCUUAAAGUUCAGUCAGAAAAAAUGCAGAAUG